UACAGAGGGUGCGAGCGUUAAUCGGAAUUACUGGGCGUAAAGGGCGCGUAGGCGGUUAAAUAAGUUAGAUGUGAAAUCUCCGAGCUUAACUUGGAAACGGCAUAUAAUACUGUUUAGCUAGAGUAGAAUAGAGGGGAGUGGAAUUUCCGGUGUAGCGGUGAAAUGCGUAGAUAUCGGAAAGAACACCAGUGGCGAAGGCGGCUUCCUGGAUUCAUACUGACGCUGAGGCGCGAAAGCAUGGGGAGCAAACAGG
Molecule: ribosomal RNA, 253 nt
Filed under: uncultured bacterium
Lineage: Bacteria
Description: partial 16S ribosomal RNA
Rfam family: Bacterial small subunit ribosomal RNA
Source: RNAcentral